GAGUUUGAUCCUGGCUCAGAUUGAACGCUGGCGGCAUGCCUUACACAUGCAAGUCGAACGGCAGCACGGGAGCUUGCUCCUGGUGGCGAGUGGCGAACGGGUGAGUAAUGCAUCGGAACGUAUCCUGGAGUGGGGGAUAACGUAGCGAAAGUUACGCUAAUACCGCAUAUUCUGUGAGCAGGAAAGCGGGGGACCUUCGGGCCUCGCGCUCUUGGAGCGGCCGAUGUCGGAUUAGCUAGUUGGUGAGGUAAAGGCUCACCAAGGCGACGAUCCGUAGCAGGUCUGAGAGGAUGAUCUGCCACACUGGAACUGAGACACGGUCCAGACUCCUACGGGAGGCAGCAGUGGGAAUUUUGGACAAUGGGGGCAACCCUGAUCCAGCCAUGCCGCGUGAGUGAAGAAGGCCUC
This 408-nucleotide ribosomal RNA is filed under the name bacterium enrichment culture clone ALO1_GLFRUDD03F49OK. RNAcentral's name for it is "bacterial SSU rRNA". It matches the Rfam family "Bacterial small subunit ribosomal RNA", at positions 9 to 418 of the family's 1533-position model. The record is from RNAcentral. RNAcentral also lists the same sequence under 1 other name.